This 490-nucleotide ribosomal RNA is filed under the name uncultured bacterium. RNAcentral's name for it is "partial 16S ribosomal RNA". It matches the Rfam family "Bacterial small subunit ribosomal RNA", at positions 30 to 507 of the family's 1533-position model. The record is from RNAcentral.
AUUGAACGCUGGCGGCAGGCCUAACACAUGCCAGUCGAACGGUAACAGGAAGCAGCUUGCUGCUUCGCUGACGAGUGGCGGACGGGUGAGUAAUGUCUGGGAAACUGCCUGAUGGAGGGGGAUAACUACUGGAAACGGUAGCUAAUACCGCAUAACGUCGCAAGACCAAAGAGGGGGACCUUAGGGCCUCUUGCCAUCGGAUGUGCCCAGAUGGGAUUAGCUAGUAGGUGGGGUAACGGCUCACCUCGGCGACGAUCCCUAGCUGGUCUGAGAGGAUGACCAGCCACACUGGAACUGAGACACGGUCCAGACUCCUACGGGAGGCAGCAGUGGGGAAUAUUGCACAAUGGGCGCAAGCCUGAUGCAGCCAUGCCGCGUGUAUGAAGAAGGCCUUCGGGUUGUAAAGUACUUUCAGCGGGGAGGAAGGGAGUAAAGUUAAUACCUUUGCUCAUUGACGUUACCCGCAGAAGAAGCACCGGCUAACUCCGUG